CCUACGGGGGACAGCAGUGAGGAAUAUUGGUCAAUGGGCGCGAGCCUGAACCAGCCAAGUCGCGUGAGGGAAGACGGUCCUACGGGUUGUAAACUUCUUUUGUCAGGGAGCAAUUGGGUCCACGCGUGGGCUUAGCGAGAGUACCUGAAGAAAAAGCAUCGGCUAACUCCGUGCCAGCAGCCGCGGUAAUACGGAGGAUGCGAGCGUUAUCCGGAUUUAUUGGGUUUAAAGGGUGCGUAGGCGGAAUAUCAAGUCAGCGGUAAAAAUUCGGGGCUCAACCCCGUCGUGCCGUUGAAACUGAUGGUCUUGAGUGGGCGAGAAGUAUGCGGAAUGCGUGGUGUAGCGGUGAAAUGCAUAGAUAUCACGCAGAACUCCGAUUGCGAAGGCAGCAUACCGGCGCCCAACUGACGCUGAAGCACGAAAGCGUGGGUAUCGAACAGGAUUAGAUACCCGUGUAGUC
RNAcentral lists this ribosomal RNA (460 nucleotides) under uncultured bacterium. RNAcentral describes it as "partial 16S ribosomal RNA". It matches the Rfam family "Bacterial small subunit ribosomal RNA", at positions 338 to 795 of the family's 1533-position model. The record is from RNAcentral.